RNAcentral lists this ribosomal RNA (779 nucleotides) under uncultured bacterium. RNAcentral describes it as "bacterial SSU rRNA". It matches the Rfam family "Bacterial small subunit ribosomal RNA", at positions 8 to 796 of the family's 1533-position model. The record is from RNAcentral.
AGAGUUUGAUCAUGGCUCAGGACGAACGCUGGCGGCGUGCUUAAUACAUGCAAGUCGAACGAGGUUCAACCGGUGGCAACACCGGUGAAGACCUAGUGGCGAACGGGUGAGUAGCACGUGAGCAACCUGCCCCGAAGACUGGGAUAACACCGGGAAACCGGUGCUAAUACCGGAUACCCCCAUCGGAUCGCAUGAUCCAAUGAGGAAAGGAUUCUGCUUCGGGAGGGGCUCGCGGCCUAUCAGCUUGAUGGUGAGGUAACGGCUCACCAUGGCGACGACGGGUAGCUGGUCUGAGAGGACGAUCAGCCACACUGGGACUGAGACACGGCCCAGACUCCUACGGGAGGCAGCAGUAGGGAAUCUUGCGCAAUGGGCGAAAGCCUGACGCAGCAACGCCGCGUGAGGGACGAAGGCUUUCUGAGUUGUAAACCUCUUUCAGCAGGGACGAUUGUGACGGUACCUGCAGAAGAAGCACCGGCCAACUACGUGCCAGCAGCCGCGGUGAUACGUAGGGUGCGAGCGUUGUCCGGAUUUAUUGGGCGUAAAGAGCUCGUAGGCGGUUCGAUAAGUCGGGUGUGAAAUCUCCAGGCUCAACCUGGAGUCGCCACUCGAUACUGUCGUGACUCGAGUCCGGUAGGGGACCAUGGAAUUCCUGGUGUAGCGGUGAAAUGCGCAGAUAUCAGGAGGAACACCAGUAGCGAAGGCGGUGGUCUGGGCCGGAACUGACGCUGAGGAGCGAAAGCGUGGGGAGCGAACAGGAUUAGAUACCCCGGUAGUCC